RNAcentral lists this ribosomal RNA (384 nucleotides) under uncultured bacterium. Its description in RNAcentral is "bacterial SSU rRNA". It matches the Rfam family "Bacterial small subunit ribosomal RNA", at positions 28 to 412 of the family's 1533-position model. The record is from RNAcentral.
GACGAACGCUGGCGGCGUGCUUAACACAUGCAAGUCGAGCGGUAAGGCCCUUUCGGGGGUACGACGAGCGGCGAACGGGUGAGUAACACGUGGGUGACCUGCCCUCAGCUCUGGGAUAAGCCUGGGAAACCGGGUCUAAUACUGGAUAUGACUCCAUGACGCAUGUUGUGGGGUGGAAAGCCUUGUGCGGCUGAGGAUGGGCCCGCGGCCUAUCAGCUUGUUGGGUGGGGUGANGGCCUACCAAGGCGACGACGGGUAGCCGGCCUGAGAGGGCGACCGGCACACUGGGACUGAGACACGGCCCAGACUCCUACGGGAGGCAGCAGUGGGGAAUCUUGCGCAAUGGGCGAAAGCCUGACGCAGCGACGCCGCGUGAGGGAUGAC